AUUGAACGCUGGCGGCAGGCCUAACACAUGCAAGUCGAGCGGACGAAGGGAGCUUGCUCCUGGAUUCAGCGGCGGACGGGUGAGUAAUGCCUAGGAAUCUGCCUGGUAGUGGGGGAUAACGUCCGGAAACGGGCGCUAAUACCGCAUACGUCCUGAGGGAGAAAGUGGGGGAUCUUCGGACCUCACGCUAUCAGAUGAGCCUAGGUCGGACUAGCUAGUUGGUGGGGUAAAGGCCUACCAAGGCGACGAUCCGUAACUGGUCUGAGAGGAUGAUCAGUCACACUGGAACUGAGACACGGUCCAGACUCCUACGGGAGGCAGCAGUGGGGUAUAUUGGACAAUGGGCGAAAGCCUGAUCCAGCCAUGCCGCGUGUGUGAAGAAGGUCUUCGGAUUGUAAAGCACUUUAAGUUGGGAGGAAGGGCAGUAAGUUAAUACCUUGCUGUUUUGACGUUACCAACAGAAUAAGCACCGGCUAACUUCGUG
RNAcentral lists this ribosomal RNA (484 nucleotides) under uncultured bacterium. Its description in RNAcentral is "partial 16S ribosomal RNA". It matches the Rfam family "Bacterial small subunit ribosomal RNA", at positions 30 to 507 of the family's 1533-position model. The record is from RNAcentral.